GAGUUUCCAUCUCUUCAAGUUUUGUUGGAUUUUAUCUUGAUUGAAGAGGAGGAUCCAAAGUUUUCUAUCGAAGUUUCACCCCUGAAGGCUCUAUGAAAGAAAUCUGAUACCAAAGAAGGUUUUUCGCAUACAAGAUGAAAGUGGAAGAUCUUAGGUGGAGGACUUUAUCUAUAAAAACAUUGAUUCUUGUCGAAAGAGGAUAACAAGGACUUGCCUAAUCCUAUGAGUGCAGAUUCAAAAAAACAAAAAAAAAUCCAAAAAAAAUCAAAAUCAAAGUCAAAAGAGAAAUGAAAAGAGAGAAGAA
This 304-nucleotide long non-coding RNA is filed under the name Gossypium raimondii (Peruvian cotton). RNAcentral describes it as "long non-coding RNA (GRAI_LNC008233)". The record is from RNAcentral. Lineage: Eukaryota; Viridiplantae; Streptophyta; Magnoliopsida; Malvales; Malvaceae.